This 76-nucleotide transfer RNA is filed under the name Sphingomonas paucimobilis. RNAcentral's name for it is "tRNA-Lys(ttt)". It matches the Rfam family "tRNA". Rfam says of the family: Transfer RNA (tRNA) molecules are approximately 80 nucleotides in length. Their secondary structure includes four short double-helical elements and three loops (D, anti-codon, and T loops). Further hydrogen bonds mediate the characteristic L-shaped molecular structure. tRNAs have two regions of fundamental functional importance: the anti-codon, which is responsible for specific mRNA codon recognition, and the 3' end, to which the tRNAs corresponding amino acid is attached (by aminoacyl-tRNA synthetases). tRNAs cope with the degeneracy of the genetic code in two manners: having more than one tRNA (with a specific anti-codon) for a particular amino acid; and 'wobble' base-pairing, i.e. permitting non-standard base-pairing at the 3rd anti-codon position. RNAcentral also lists the same sequence under 37 other names. Lineage: Bacteria; Pseudomonadati; Pseudomonadota; Alphaproteobacteria; Sphingomonadales; Sphingomonadaceae. The record is from RNAcentral.
GGGUCCGUAGCUCAGUUGGUAGAGCAAGCGACUUUUAAUCGAGAGGUCCCGGGUUCGAGUCCCGGCGGACCCACCA